UCGGCAUACACGCACGCAUCGAGGGCCUCGCCCAAUUCGAUGUGCAAGGCAGGCAUCACGUCACGACGAUCGACGAUGCUGGCGUAUACGAGCGUGCAAGGCGGGUCGGCGUACACGUGCUGCAUGCAUCGGCCGGCAUAUAGCGCCAGAAGCCAUCUUCAUUCACGCCGAACUGUGUGCCAGCCAUCGCGUUUGUUCGUGGGCCGAAGCUCCAUGCAGAUGCGGCCAGACUA
This 233-nucleotide long non-coding RNA is filed under the name Setaria italica (foxtail millet). RNAcentral's name for it is "long non-coding RNA (SITA_LNC006853)". The record is from RNAcentral. Lineage: Eukaryota; Viridiplantae; Streptophyta; Magnoliopsida; Poales; Poaceae.